AGGGAAAGGCGAAAAGAACCCCGGCGAGGGGAGUGAAAAAGAACCUGAAACCGUGUACGUACAAGCAGUGGGAGCACGCUUAGGCGUGUGACUGCGUACCUUUUGUAUAAUGGGUCAGCGACUUAUAUUCUGUAGCAAGGUUAACCGAAUAGGGGAGCCGAAGGGAAACCGAGUCUUAACUGGGCGUUAAGUUGCAGGGUAUAGACCCGAAACCCGGUGAUCUAGCCAUGGGCAGGUUGAAGGUUGGGUAACACUAACUGGAGGACCGAACCGACUAAUGUUGAAAAAUUAGCGGAUGACUUGUGGCUGGGGGUGAAAGGCCAAUCAAACCGGGAGAUAGCUGGUUCUCCCCGAAAGCUAUUUAGGUAGCGCCUCGUGAAUUCAUCUCCGGGGGUAGAGCACUGUUUCGGCAAGGGGGUCAUCCCGACUUACCAACCCGAUGCAAACUGCGAAUACCGGAGAAUGUUAUCACGGGAGACACACGGCGGGUGCUAACGUCCGUCGUGAAGAGGGAAACAACCCAGACCGCCAGCUAAGGUCCCAAAGUCAUGGUUAAGUGGGAAACGAUGUGGGAAGGCCCAGACAGCCAGGAUGUUGGCUUAGAAGCAGCCAUCAUUUAAAGAAAGCGUAAUAGCUCACUGGUCGAGUCGGCCUGCGCGGAAGAUGUAACGGGGCUAAACCAUGCAC
This 687-nucleotide ribosomal RNA is filed under the name Escherichia coli. Its description in RNAcentral is "partial 23S ribosomal RNA". It matches the Rfam family "Bacterial large subunit ribosomal RNA", at positions 506 to 1194 of the family's 2925-position model. The record is from RNAcentral. Lineage: Bacteria; Pseudomonadati; Pseudomonadota; Gammaproteobacteria; Enterobacterales; Enterobacteriaceae.